RNAcentral lists this long non-coding RNA (783 nucleotides) under Castor canadensis (American beaver). RNAcentral describes it as "lncRNA (ENSCCNG00000016257.1)". Lineage: Eukaryota; Metazoa; Chordata; Mammalia; Rodentia; Castoridae. The record is from RNAcentral.
GAAAAUGCUAGGAUAUUAUCAUUUAAAUAUGCUCCCUGUUAUCUGUUUAGUAAUACUGUAAAUAAAGAGUUUUAUACUCAAAAAAUAAUAAUAAAAAAAAACUUUAUUGUUGUCACAGACUAGAGUGUUGAUAGCAUCUCUGCUUCCUAUAUGACACUACUUGGUUCUAUAGUGAAAAGACCUGACUCUAGCAUAAUCUUUUUUGAAUGUAGCUGUCCUUACUAUCAUGUGUUUUCCCCAAAGGUGAAAGAAGAAUACUAUCCGUACUUUGUGUUUGCCAGUAGUUUCAACUCUGAAUGAAGUCUUUCUGGAAGCUGAUGUUCAAGCAAUUUCAGGGUUAUUGGCCAAUAUGGAAAUCAUUCCAGACUGGACAAACGUGUAUCUAGAAGAACACAUUUUGCUGUGUCAAGUGCAAACCCAGCCCUUGGUUCACCUUAUGCUCACAACUCAUCCCAGUUUGUACAGAAUUGACAAUCUCUCAGAUGAGGAAAGAUGGAUUCCUUUUUUUAGUGGCUUUUUCUAGAUGUUUUCUAAGCGUAAUCAUACUCAUUCCAGUGCUGAAUUGAGAAGAGCUGUAAUCACCUCCUCACUUCCUCGGGGAGCCCUCAGCAUCAAUGACAGAAUCAACCCUCAGCCCCCUGUUCUUCAGCUCUCCACGGAGAAACUGAGCAGAGAUGGCGCUUUCCUCCUGGAUUCAGGCUCUGUGAGUAGUUUGACUUCCUGACCCCCUCACUGUACCACUGUUCCUUUUUAGCAUUAGGUUUCCUUCCCCAUGGUAUCUCU